CCCUUAGAUGUUCUGGGCCGCACGCGCGCUACACUGAUGCAUUCAACGAGUCUAAAACCUGCUCUGAUAGGGGUGGGUAAUCUUUUGAAUGUGCAUCGUGAUUGGGAUAGAUGAUUGCAAUUUUUCAUCUUCAACGAGGAAUGCCUAGUAAACGCAAGUCAUCAGCUUGCAUUGAUUACGUCCCUGCCCUUUGAACACACCGCCCGUCGCUCCUACCGAUUGAAUGAUCCGAUGAAUAUCAUGGAUUGAGGAUGCAAGUAGGUUCGCCUAUCUUCAUCUUCGAGAAGUGAAGUAAAUCUUAUCAUUUAGAGGAAGGAGAAGUCGUAACA
This 329-nucleotide ribosomal RNA is filed under the name uncultured eukaryote. Its description in RNAcentral is "partial 18S ribosomal RNA". It matches the Rfam family "Eukaryotic small subunit ribosomal RNA", at positions 1470 to 1796 of the family's 1831-position model. The record is from RNAcentral.